This 508-nucleotide ribosomal RNA is filed under the name Klebsiella oxytoca. RNAcentral describes it as "bacterial SSU rRNA". It matches the Rfam family "Bacterial small subunit ribosomal RNA", at positions 619 to 1126 of the family's 1533-position model. Lineage: Bacteria; Pseudomonadati; Pseudomonadota; Gammaproteobacteria; Enterobacterales; Enterobacteriaceae. The record is from RNAcentral.
AACUGCAUUCGAAACUGGCAGGCUGGAGUCUUGUAGAGGGGGGUAGAAUUCCAGGUGUAGCGGUGAAAUGCGUAGAGAUCUGGAGGAAUACCGGUGGCGAAGGCGGCCCCCUGGACAAAGACUGACGCUCAGGUGCGAAAGCGUGGGGAGCAAACAGGAUUAGAUACCCUGGUAGUCCACGCUGUAAACGAUGUCGACUUGGAGGUUGUUCCCUUGAGGAGUGGCUUCCGGAGCUAACGCGUUAAGUCGACCGCCUGGGGAGUACGGCCGCAAGGUUAAAACUCAAAUGAAUUGACGGGGGCCCGCACAAGCGGUGGAGCAUGUGGUUUAAUUCGAUGCAACGCGAAGAACCUUACCUACUCUUGACAUCCAGAGAACUUAGCAGAGAUGCUUUGGUGCCUUCGGGAACUCUGAGACAGGUGCUGCAUGGCUGUCGUCAGCUCGUGUUGUGAAAUGUUGGGUUAAGUCCCGCAACGAGCGCAACCCUUAUCCUUUGUUGCCAGCGNUU